GGAGCUGUAGCUCGGUGGUAGAGGGCUUACCUAGCAUGUGUGAGGCCCUGAGUUCUAUUCUCAGCACCA
Molecule: transfer RNA, 69 nt
Filed under: Marmota monax (woodchuck)
Lineage: Eukaryota; Metazoa; Chordata; Mammalia; Rodentia; Sciuridae
Description: tRNA.Ala
Source: RNAcentral